UUCGAGACCUAUGGCUCGAGCCGAGCAAAGCGAGACAGCGUUGCGCAGCAACGACCCGAAGGGCGAGGCCGGAGGCCGAGUA
RNAcentral lists this small RNA (82 nucleotides) under Ewingella americana. Its description in RNAcentral is "RtT sRNA". It matches the Rfam family "RtT RNA", at positions 31 to 112 of the family's 130-position model. From Rfam's summary of the family: This family represents a bacterial cis-regulatory element known as RtT RNA. The exact function of RtT is unknown although it is thought that it may be involved in changing the cellular response in relation to amino acid starvation. The record is from RNAcentral. Lineage: Bacteria; Pseudomonadati; Pseudomonadota; Gammaproteobacteria; Enterobacterales; Yersiniaceae.